Molecule: long non-coding RNA, 979 nt
Organism: Armigeres subalbatus
Lineage: Eukaryota; Metazoa; Arthropoda; Insecta; Diptera; Culicidae
Exons: 4
Source: RefSeq, a predicted model, not a curated record
AUUGUCAUCAGUGCGCCAUUUUUGUUUUUGGUGCUUGCUGCGGCUUGAUUUUUAUUAAAAACAGGAUAGGUAUCCGUGUGAAUAAAUUAUUCUAAAUAAAAUAAAUACCUGGGACAUGAUUAGUAGUGAAAAGUCCCUUGUGUACAUGGACAAACGGCACUCCGCUAGUACAAUUUCUAAUUUCAGCGCAAACACGGCAUUCCGGAACAUCGAUGGAUGGAAUGCCGCCCAGCCAGGAGUGCAACGAAAUAAAAUGAUCAAUACUCGCAAUGAGCAGCUUCAUCGUUUGGAAUUCCCGAUCUGAUAUUCCGAUUUACAAAAAGCUCAUCGGAUAAGAAACCGGAUGUCGAUCCGGCUUCUGACUAAGCGAUUGGAAUAAAUUUGCCGAGGAAUCGUAUAGGGAUAGAAAAAAAAGGAUAGUCGAAACGGAAUAAAAACAACGAGCGGCAGAAAGGAAUGCUAAAUGUAACGAAAAGUUGACGAGAAGGCGAUUCAACUCGAUCAGCUAGUCCAGUCAAACUUUCAGCCAUGCGAGAUUCUUACGCAUCAAGAACAUGCCUCGCUGUCAGACGAUCGAUUAGUUACUAUAGAUGUCCAAGUAUUAUGAGCUGUAGAUGAAGAUGCCGGCUACUUUGCGGUUUCAAAGUUCCUCCGAAUGCUGAAGCCUUCCGUGACGCUCUGUUUAACAUCACUCCAGUGAAGGGAAUCCGGAAGCGAACCCUGCAGAGAAAUUGUCGCCCAAUCUGCGGAAAGUUCUGCCGUAGACCACGGACCACAAUGAUAAUCCAGCACCUGCCGACGAUGACGAAAACGUGGAUAAAUCAGUUGACCGGUUCAAGGUGUAUCGUCAUUGCAUGAGACCCGACCCCUAAAGGCGACGGGAUACAGGACAGGACCUUCAUGACAAAUCAGCAUAUAGUGAGCAAAAAAUUAUGAUAUUUAUUAUUAUUUUAUUAUUCAUUAUGAUGUAUUAAAUAUA